This 484-nucleotide ribosomal RNA is filed under the name uncultured bacterium. RNAcentral describes it as "partial 16S ribosomal RNA". It matches the Rfam family "Bacterial small subunit ribosomal RNA", at positions 30 to 507 of the family's 1533-position model. The record is from RNAcentral.
AUUGAACGCUGGCGGCAGGCCUAACACAUGCAAGUCGAGCGGAUGAAGGGAGCUUGCUCCUGGAUUCAGCGGCGGACGGGUGAGUAAUGCCUAGGAAUCUGCCUGGUAGUGGGGGAUAACGUCCGGAAACGGGCGCUAAUACCGCAUACGUCCUGAGGGAGAAAGUGGGGGAUCUUCGGACCUCACGCCAUCAGAUGAGCCUAGGUCGGAUUAGCUAGUUGGUGGGGUAAAGGCCUACCAAGGCGACGAUCCGUAACUGGUCUGAGAGGAUGAUCAGUCACACUGGAACUGAGACACGGUCCAGACUCCUACGGGAGGCAGCAGUGGGGAAUAUUGGACAAUGGGCGAAAGCCUGAUCCAGCCAUGCCGCGUGUGUGAAGAAGGUCUUCGGAUUGUAAAGCACUUUAAGUUGGGAGGAAGGGCAGUGAGUUAAUACCUUGCUGUUUUGACGUUACCAACAGAAUAAGCACCGGCUAACUUCGUG